CACUUUUAAAAGACAUAGAGGUUUCUUCAAAAUUUAGGCAAUUACUCAAAUUUGAGGAGUUAUCCUACAGUAUGUCAAAAUGAAACUGCUAAUUAUUAAGUUCCAUAUGUAUUUUGUCUCACUUAUCGUCAAUAGAAGGCACUGAAAAGUAGUUCACAAAUAACUGAUGGACAGGUUUAAUUUAUUUUCAAGAGGGCAUCAUGUUGACAAAAAAGUUGUUGCUCACCCUAUUUUGACAACCAGAAAAAUGCAAUUCUAUUUGAGAAAGUAAAUGUAGGAUUUUUUUUAGGGUGCAUCUAUUCAGCGAACAUGUGUGUAACAACAGGUUAAUUUGAAAGGUAGAAGCAAUGUUUGGUCUGUGAUAGAUAGAUGAGUGUGUUUAACUUAUGGUUUUUUACAAACAGUUUGUAGAAUGCCUCCUGGCAUUGGUUCUCUGACCUUGGAUCAAUUUACUCUGCGCUUACAUGAUAUAUUGCUUCUAGCCGAUGAAAUUUAGUCCACAUUUGUGUGCGUAUGCAUAUCCUAUACUGGAAAUUGUGCUUGCCCAUUAUAUAUUAGAAGUAGACAAGAAAAUGUCCAUAGUAAUAAACUUGCGGUCACAGGACUGCUAGCUUAAAGUUUGUUAGAUUAUGUAAAUGGGUAAUUUUGUUGUCUGCUCUUUAGGUUUCCAUAGUAUGAGCUGGUGCUAUUGCUUUUAAACUGCCAUGUAAACUGAACAAUGGGGCUUCAUGUAUAAACUGGAGCAAUAAUAUCCUAUUACUUCUCAUGUAAUGGAUCAAUUGUGUGUCUUGGUCUUUCCUGUUUUCUUUGGUUUUGCAGCCUAGAAUUUUUUCAUGCGCAUAUAUAGCUACUUAAUCAACUGAGUUCCUUUAUGAUGUGUGGCAGACAACAUUUACUGAUAUGACUUACUUUCUCAUUCUAGAUAAUGGCAGGUGUAGCAAUGAAAGGCAUAUAUAUUUUACUACAAGCAUCCUAGCUUUCUCAUCUUAUUAGUGACUCACUUUCGAAACAUAUGUAUUGGUAGUUUUUAUCUCUAUUCUUUUGCCUUCUACAUAAUGGAUUGCAAUGUUUUUGUCUUGAUCCAAUCCUUCCCGCGCCCAUGGGGUGUCCUGCAGGGACUGCUUUGGCUGUUCCAGAGGCCGUACACACAUAUAAAUACACAACUACUCCCUCGACCGAAGCCCAGCCCAAUUGUGUCGUUUCGUCGUGCUCGACAUUGGUAUCUUGCCGUUCUGCCGAAGCCAUGGAAAUCUCGCUGUUCUGCCAACCUGGUAGGAAUUUCUCCAUAGCCGACUUCACCGGAAUUACAUCCGCCAGUGUAGCCAAGGCACAUCGUUCAAACUGCUCGAGCAAUACUGAUUUGGAGUUGUUUUGGUCAAGCGGUUGAACUGAACCAUGCUACUGUACAGUAGCCAAAAGGAUAGUCAGGUUGUUUC
RNAcentral lists this long non-coding RNA (1436 nucleotides) under Triticum aestivum (bread wheat). Its description in RNAcentral is "long non-coding RNA (TAES_LNC021529)". The record is from RNAcentral. Lineage: Eukaryota; Viridiplantae; Streptophyta; Magnoliopsida; Poales; Poaceae.